Molecule: ribosomal RNA, 242 nt
Filed under: uncultured Geobacillus sp.
Lineage: Bacteria; Bacillati; Bacillota; Bacilli; Caryophanales; Anoxybacillaceae
Description: partial 16S ribosomal RNA
Rfam family: Bacterial small subunit ribosomal RNA
Source: RNAcentral
CGGACGGGUGAGUAACACGUGGGCAACCUGCCCGUAAGACCGGGAUAACUUCGGGAAACCGGAGCUAAUACCGGAUAACACCGAAGAUCGCAUGAUCUUUGGUUGAAAGGCGGCUUUGGCUGUCACUUACGGAUGGGCCCGCUGCGCAUUAGCUAGUUGGUGAGGUAACGGCUCACCAAGGCGACGAUGCGUAGCCGACCUGAGAGGGUGAUCGGCCACACUGGGACUGAGACACGGCCCAG